Molecule: long non-coding RNA, 1078 nt
Organism: Haliotis rubra (blacklip abalone)
Lineage: Eukaryota; Metazoa; Mollusca; Gastropoda; Lepetellida; Haliotidae
Exons: 2
Source: RefSeq, a predicted model, not a curated record
GAGGAGCAAACGGAGAAGAAGAAGGACAAGAAGAGGAAGAGGGAGGAAAAAGAGACUGAGAAGGAAAUACAGGAAAAGGCUACAGAGAAAACCAAGAAGAAGAAGAAGAAAAAAAAGAAGUCAUCAGCUAGGCAAGUUGAAGUGUAGAGAGCAGUGAGCUUGGAGAAAACGGGGGGAAGAAUGGAAGCAAGGCAUCAAAACCAAGAAGAGCUGGGCUGCGGCCACAGAAGCUUCCUCCCCUCAUCCAGAGUACUUGUGACUCCUUCAAAGGUGCCAAUGUGGCCUCUAUUGAUGGAUAUAAUAAAUCAUCACUCCCAGCUUCAGAGUUGAUGAAGAGAAUUGAAAGUAAACAUAACAUGGUAUUGUGGCAGUUGAAGGCAAAGAAACAAGAUAAACAACUUCGAAUGCAGCAUGGCCUUGACCAAUGUUAGCGCUGCAAAACAGGGGCAUUAAAGACACGUUCCAUAAUGCCAUGACAGGAGACGGGGUUGUUGGUGGUAUUACUGAUGGACCAUUAGUGUUUGGCAGAACAUACUGAAGUGCUGUCAAGGAAACUGUGCAAUAAGGGUGUGAUGAACUAUUGAGGCCACAAUCUGAAAACGACAGCAUCUCCACGAGAACACAAAAUUGUUUCUCUCUGAUACUGUAUUUGUAAAUAUUGUAACAGACAAUGUAUUGAAAAUGAAUACCAUUUUUGUUAGUGUGUGAUUAUUAUAAUGACUUAAAGAUUAGAUAUAUUGCAGAAAAGUUUUGCAGGUAUCCAUCUUUACACUAAUUUAAUAUGUUAAUGUCAUCAGCAAAUAUUGAAGUUAUUAGAAAUAAUGCUAUGUAUAUUUACUAUGCAGAUGUAAAACGUUCCGCACCUUCCUCAUUGUACAUCUCAUCUGUGGUUAUUUGCUGUACAUCAACCAAGGGAAAGCCUGUAACCAUUGUUGUAAUUAUGGGCCUAUGGCCGACAUUACAGCAAGAAAUAAAGACUGGAUACUGUAGGUAAAAUAGAAAUAACUAUUAAAACAAAAUAUGUGUCAGAAAGACUUCACUGUUGAUGGAUUGUUGAUUAAAAUGAAUUUACAUGAAA